AAUGUUUUUAAGUGUGAAGAGGAGACUUGAAGUGUAAUAAACUUACACUCCAAGGCCACCCCUUGGCAAGGGUAGGAUGGUCAUUUGUUAUCUCCCUUUGUGGACUAAUAUAAAUAGAUAGUGUUAGGGUUAGUUUGGAGUUAAUUCAUUCAUGAUAUUUUGAGAACACAAUACUUGUAAUAUUUUGAACUUCUCUCUUCCAUUAGAGAAGAUCAAAACCGAAAUUCCCAAUUGGAGUGACACUUGGGUUGAAUCUUGGCUAGAAACUAGGAUCUUGAGGCCAUUGAGUUCCUCUUGGUCCAAGUAAGAGCUUGGUAAUAAUAUUCUUUAGUCUUAGGGUCCUUUAAUGUUGUUAGGGUUCUUAGAUUCUUGAAUAUUAUAUAUCAAGUUACUAUUUAAUUUGUAAUCUUGUUGUUUGUGUGGUAACAUAGUGAAGCCCUGUGGGACCAUUUUUGAUUCACUAUAGUUGCGGCCACUUUGUUGCUCUUGUUGUUGUUAUUGUAAUUUUGUAAUCUCUAUCAUCUUGUCAUUUUUUGUAAACCUUGAAGUCUAGUGAAGCCGUGUGUGGCCUAUUUCGAUUCACUAGCAUUAUUGUUGUUCAUCUUGUUAUUCUUGUGUUGGCUUGACUCUCUUGAUACACACUCACUUUUUUAUUAUUUGGUAUCAAAGCUUGUGGUUGAUUUUUUUUCCAACAAAAUCAAUCUUGGGUUUGGUAGUUGAAAAAUAACAAAAAAAAAAAUGAAAAAAAAGGUUGCUGAAAUCUGAAAAUUCUAGCAAAAAAAAGAGAAAUCUGUCCAUCUUGUUUUUGGCCAAAAAAAUUGUGUUGUGUUGUUGUCUUGGCCAAGAUUGGCGUUUGUGUAUUUAUAUCUAGAUGUUCUUUUGUUUUUCUAGUUUGUUUCUUGUGUUGAUUUCUUUCUCAUCAUCACAAAAGGUGUCUAAAGCUAAGUUGAGCUUAAUAUAUUGACAUUGCUAUUGUGGACUUGAAGUGGUAGUAUGAUAAACUUGAAGAAGGAUGAGUUGGUGGCGUUGUUGAUUGACGUUAAAGUGGGCUAUUGUUUGUGAAUUGUGGUUGUGUUCUUGAAGUAUUGUUGUGGUGUUCAUCUUGAUCUUCUCAUUAUCUCAUAGCUUGACCACUAUAAAGACUAAAAUAGAUCCAAAAGGGUUGUAAGACAAAGUUGUAAAGUUGUUUGUGAAAAGACUUGCCAACAUCACUUCCUUUACUUAACAACCACUUUCCCUUAAAACAAGGAGCCUUGUCUUGUGGAACUAGUAAAGUCAAGCCUCAUCUUUUUUAUAUGAGCACACAUAUGUAUGUCAAUCACUUGACACACAUAAUGUUAAUUUAGUGGUUUAAUAUGUAUGUCAAUCAUGUGCACUAUUAACGUUAAAUCCAACAUCAUUUGUUAUUGUUAAAUAAAUCAACUAAAAUGAGUCAUGGUGGUUGUACAUCACUUCAUUGACAUAGUUCCUUCCAUGUACUACAAUAUUAGUCUAUUAUCUAACAUAACCUUUAAAAUACCUAAUGGGUCCAACGAUAAUACUUAGAAUACUUUAUCUAAGUCAGAACCUAUCAUCAUUAUUCACAAUAUUAUGUAUACAAGAGAAAACAGGUAACAAUAAAAACAUAUAUAAUUUGAGCUCAAAGUGUCAAUUACAAAAAUAUAAUAAAGAUUUUACAUAAAAUCAUUCAUUACUAUCAAUAAGACCCAUUCUUUCAACAUGUUCAACAAAUGUUUUGGGCAGUAAUCCUUUCGUCAAAGGAUCAACAAUCAUAAGCUUGGUGCUAAUAUGUUCAAUUAACACUUUAUGUUUCUGUACUUCUUCUUUAACCGAAAAGUAUUUCAAUUCCAUAUGCUUAGCACCUUUCGCAUACUUAUCGUUCUUAGAGAAGAAAACUGCGACAGUAUUAUCACAAUAAAUUUUCAGCGGCCUGGCUAUAUUGUCGACUAGUCCAAGUCCUGAAAUAAAAUUCCGUAGCCAAUUAGCCUGGACUGUGGCCUCAAAGCAUACCAUAAACUUAGCUUCCAUAGUGGUUGCAGCUAUAACAGACUGCUUCGCACUCUUCCAUGAUAUUGCUCCUCCACCUAACAGAAACAAAUAUCCAAAUGUGAAUUUUCUUGUAUCCACACAACCAGCAUAAUCUGAAUCUGAAUAUCUAACCACAUCUAGAUGAUCAGAUCUUCUAUAAGUGAGCAUAUGAUCUUUCGUUCCUUGUAAGUAUCGCAACACUUUUUUUGCAGCCUUCCAGUGAUCCAUUCCAGGAUUACUUUGAUAUCGACCCAGCAUUCCAACAGCAAAACUGAUGUCUGGUCUUGUACAUGUUUGGGCAUACAUAAGACUCCCAACUAUUGAUGCAUAAGGAAUAUCGUUCAUUUACUUUUGUUCCAAGUCAUUCUUUGGACAUUGAAUGAGACUAAACUUAUAUCCUUUCUGAAUUGGAACGGGACUUGAUGAGCAUUUUUUAAUUCUAAAUCUGUCUAAUACUUUAUUAAUAUAGGUUUUCUGAGAAAAUCCCAACAAUCCUUGUGAUCUAUCUCAAAAUAUUUCUAUUUCGAUCACAUAGGAUGCCUCACCCAUGUCUUUCAUUUCAAAGUUAUUAGAGAGAUAUUUCUUGGUAUCAUGUAACAAACCAAGAUCAUUAGUAAUAAUCAAGAUGUCAUCAACAUAUAAGACUAACAUAAUAAACUUACUCCCACUGACCUUCAGAUAUAUACACCGAUCAACAGUGUUUUCUUUAAAUCCAAAGGUGACAAUCGUUUCAUUAAACUUAAGAUACCACUGUCGGGAAGCUUGUUUAAGUCCGUAUAUUGAUUUCUUAAGUUUACACACCAUGUGUUCCUUUCCUUUAAUAGAAAACCCCUCAGAUUGAUUCAUAUAAACUUCUUCCUCUAAAUUUCCAUUCAAAAAGGCUAUUUUCACAUCCAUUUGAUGUAGCUCUAAGUCAUAAUGAGCUACCAAGGCCAUUAUAAUUUUGAGUGAAUCUUUUCUAGAGACAGGUGAAAAUGUCUCUUUAUAAUCAAUACCAUUCUUUUGAGUGAAACCUUUGGCAACAAGUCUGGCCUUGUGGCGUUCGAUGUUGCCAGUUGAGUCACGUUUGGUCUUAAAGAUCCAUUUACACCCAACUCUUUUGCAACCUUCGGGUAAUUCAACAAGGUCCCAAACUUCAUUUUGUUUCAUAGAUUUUAACUCAUCUUUCAUAGCAUUUAUCCAUUUAUCAGAAUUGUUGCUUUCAAUGGCUUGUGAAAAUAAAACUGGAUCAUCAUCAAUUCCCAAGUCAGUUUCUGACUCAUGUAGAUAUACCAAAUAAUCAUUAGAAAUAGUAGAUUUUUUUGGUCUUUGAGAUCUUCUUGAUGCUACUUCUUGUGGUUCAUCUACUAUAGGUUCAUCAAUUAUGGCUUCAUUAAUGAGAGCAUUAAUUUGUUGUUCUUGUUGAUUAAUUUGUUGUGCAAUAGCUUCAGGAACAACAAAUUUAAAAGAAGUACAGGAUAGAGGAAUUUUCACCCUAACUUCUUUAAUUUUCACAUUACGUGGUUCUUCACUCCCACUAACUUCGCCAUUCUCAAUGAAUCUAGCGUUUCCAGUUUCAAAUAUUCUUGUACUAUGAUUAGGACAGUAAAAUCUAUACCCCUUUGAUUUUUCUGGAUAACCAAUGAAGAAUUCACUGAUUGGUCUUGAAUCCAGUUUCUUUUUUUGUGGAUUGUAUAUUCUAACUUCUGUCGCGCAACCCCAAACAUGCAGGUGCCUCAAACUAGGUUUCCUACCAGUCCACAGUUCAAAAGGUGUCUUUGGGACUGCUUUACUAGGAACCCUAUUUAACAAGUAAACGGCAGUCCUUAAAGCAUACAUCCAUAAUGAAGGAGGUAAAGAUGAAUUACUUAACAUACUCCUAACCAUAUCCAUUAAUGUACGAUUACACCUUUCUGCCACACCAUUUUGUUGUGGUGUGCCAGGCAUUAUGUAUUGAGCUCAUAUGUCUUAUUUUUCAAGGAAUUUAGCAAAUUGACCUGGGUGUUGUCCACUUUCAUCAUAUCUUCCAUAAUAUUCACCACCUCUAUCAGACCUGAUUAUUUUUACCUUUCUAUCUAAUUGUCUUUCAACCUCAGUAAUAAAUAACUCUAAGGCAUUAAUCAGUCGAGAUUUUUCAUGCAACAAAUAGAUAUAUCCAUAACGUGAAAGUCAUCAAUAAAAGUGAUAAAAUAUUUUUCUUUAUUGAAAGAUGUGAUAUCAAAAGGACCAUAUAUAUCAAUGUGUAUAAUUUCAAGAAGCUGCGUGCUUCUUGUGGCUUCUUUCUUUGUGUUUUUUUUUGUUUUCCUUUAAUACAAUCAACACAAAUAUUAAGGUUAGUAAAAUCUAAAUCUGGAAGAAUUUCAUUCUUAAUUAAUCUUUUCAGCUUUUCUUUAGAUAUGUGACCUAAACGUUUAUGCCACAAGUAAGAAGAUUGUUCAUUUACGAAACUUCAUUUGGUUCCAACAUUAUGAUGUAGAGUUAAAAGUGUUUUGGCAAAUAUAUUAUCAAGAUUAAAUUUGUAUAAAUUAUCACAAAGAGUACCAGUACCAAUGAGAUAAUUAUUCUUAAACAAACUAAAACAUCCAUUACCAAAAUUAAAGGAAUAUCCAGUCUUAUCCAACUUAGAUAAUGAAACUAAAUUUCUAGAAAGAGAAGGAACAUAAUAAGUUUCAACUAAAUCUAAGUGACGCCCAGUAUCGAGAAUCAGACGAUAAGUCCCAACAGCUUCAACUGGAGCCUUCACUCUAUUCCCCAUGCAAACAAAUCUUUCGUUCUUGUUUUGGUUUGGAUUAUAAGGAUCCCUAUAUAGUAUUAGAAACAUGAACAGUACAACCAGAGUCAAUCCACCAAGUAUUAUAAGGAAAUUCAGUUAAAUUUGAUUCGAGACAUAUAAAAGCACAAGGCUUACCUUUCUUCCUAAACCAUGCCUUACGUUUCAGGCAAUGUUUCUGAAAGUGUCCAGAUUUUCCAAAGAAAUGAUACUUUCCAUUCUUUUUUCCUUUCUUAUGUACUUGAGAUGACGACUCAUUAAUAUUAAGUUGCUUCUGUUGUCCCUUACCAUGCUUCUUUCCUUUCUUUUCAGCUCCUUGAUGAUUUACAUAAUUAAUGGAGUGGGUUCCUUGAUUCUUUAUCCUUGUUUCCUCUUGAACCAACAUACCAUGCAAUUCAUGCACAUUUUAUUUGUCUUUCAUGGUAUUGUAUUUCAUUUGGAAAGGACCAUACUCAGACGGUAAUGAGUUGAUGAUGAAUUGCACAAGGAAAUUUUGUUCCACUUCCAUUCCCAAUAACUUAAGUCUUGAUGCUAUGUUUGUCAUUUCAAUGACAUGCUCAUGCAUAGUACGUGAACCAUCAAACUUCAUGAUGGUCAAAGUACCCAUUAGUUUCCCAGAAAGAGACUUAUCAGCAGUUUGGGAAGACUCUUCCACAAGUUUCAGAAGUUCUUUUGCACUUUCAGUUUUGGGAAGAGUAGUCUUAAUGUUGCCCGCAAUAUUCAUUCGCAUGAACAUUAGGCCUAAUCUGUUAGACUGAUCCCAGUGCUUAUAAUAGGACUUUUCUUCAUCACUGCUAGCUUCAGUAAUAGCAGUUGGCUUUUCAGAGUAAAGUGCAACAUCAAGAUCUAAAAUACCAAGAUGAAAUUUGAUCUGUUCGCACCAAUCUGAAAAGUUAAGUCCAUUAAAAGUUGUAACAGAGGCAGAGUGCGAAUGAAGGGAAAGUGAUGCAAGUAAAACAUGCUCAUUUAUUAAUACUUUGAGUUACGAGUUUAAACACAUUAUCAAAUUCAGAAAUAAUGUCUUUUCUUAAAUGUAUAUUGACGUUCUCCUUUGGGAGAAACAUCAACAUACAACUUAAAACAUAAUGAUGCUUAAAAGUAUAUUUAACAUAAAUCGAUAAUAUUUAAUACAUCAAUUAAUAAUAUUUAUUAUCUUUGGAUAAAUAAAUAAAAUUAACGAUACACCAAAAUUAUCUCUUUAAUAUUUAUUGGUCAUACGAACAAACAAUCAACCUUUGGGUGGUCCACAAAUGUCUUAUAACUAAAAUUUUAAUUUACCCAUAAUUGUUACAUCAUUUAUAAGGAUCAAAAUUAAUGGGUAAUUAAUUAAAACUUAAUCUUUAUUUGGGAAUUAAUCUCAUAAAGAUUCGACCACUUUGGUGAUUAACGAACCUCAUUCAUAAUCGAAAUAAUACUAUCAUGCCUAUAGAAUUACAUUAUUUCCAGUGAUUCGGAAUUCAGAAUGAAUUAUGAAUAAAUAAUGAUUCAUAUUCAAUUAUUAUGAACUACCGUUUAUGUCCUUAUUAUUAUUAAAAAUAAAAAUGUUUCAAUGUAAACACAUGUUUACAGUGACCGAAAUUGAAAUUAAAUGAACAAUGCAUUCUUUACUUAAUAAGUUAAUUCAAUUCAAGACCUUUAAUGGUAACAUAAUGUUGUUAAUCCAUAUGGACAUCACGAUCCUAGGCCUUAUAUGGCUACUAACUGUCUUGGCAAUAGGGCACUUAAAAAAAAUAUUAUAUUGUUAAUAUUAGGCAAACAACAUUAAUUACAUUACAGUAACAAUAAGCAUUAACAACAAACACCAAUAUUAAACAACAAAAACAAAACUUUAAUGUGAUGGCUAAUAAUACUCAAUUCACGUUAGUAAAUAAUAAAUUUAAAUUCCUAAAUAUUCAUAAUUAGGAUUCAUAAAAUCAACAAAAAACUUUAUUCUCAAAGGAAAAUCAUUAGUUCCUAAACCUUGCUCUUGAUACCACAUGUAAGCAAAUACAGGAUUAUAUAACUUAAACAAUCUAAUAUAAAUAAUCCUAUCAAUUAUUUAGGAACGUAGAAUUUAAUGAUUUUCACAUCCCAUUCUAUAACAAGUAUAAGGAUCAGUCAAGAAACAUACCAGAAUCCAUAGUUUUUCUUGACCGAGAUUUAGCAGAAGUACAGAAUAGAAAUAUUGUUUGUCUCUCUUGGCCUUACUUUACAGAAUAAAUUACGAUGAAGCCUAUUCUUCUUUUGGCAGAGAGAGAACCCUUUUUUAUAAUAGAGAAUAGUUAGUUAUGUUUUCACGUACCAUCAACAUGAAUAGUGGAUACAAUAAUUAUCCACUAACAGCCAGUAAUUAUCCUAUUAGGACUCAGUAAUUAUUCUACUAACAGAUUAGUCAGUAGUUUAAUCCGACUAGGUAACUUCCCCAUAUAGGUUUAGGAUUUAACUUAUUCAAUAAUUAUUAAACCAACAAAUAAAUUAAUUAUGUGGGCCAUAAAAAUUUACAAGGGCGAUUGGAAGAGACCCUAAAUGAUGGGACGACCCUUUGGUUUUUAAGCCUGAGAGGUUUCUUGAUUUGAUGAUUGAAAUCAAGGGGCAUUGCUUUGAGUUGAUACCAUUUGGUGCUGGCAGAAGGAUGUGUGCAGGCCUUCCCUUAGCUAAUCGUAUGUUGCACCUUCUUUUGGAUUGAUUAUUUCUUGAACUUGAUUGGGAGCUUCCUAACAAUGUCACGUAUAAACUGUUGGGUUUGUGUGGUGUCAGGUGUGAAUGGAAAACGAAGAGUUAUACCAGGAGAAAUGAUGCAAUUUGAACAACACAUGUUCAAGUUUAGGAUGUGAUCUUUCCGUAAAGGCACAAGCACCUUUUACAUUGAACAAGUUGUGACAUUUUUGUUGGGUUCGAAAUCGAGAGGGCGUCAUGUGGAAACUAUUAGUUACAAACCAUAAAGAAAAUAACUCAGAUGACAAAGAAAAACAUACUAAAAACAUAAUAUUAUUAUGUGAUUUGGCUAAUUGGCCUACAUAUAAAACCUAAUAUUAAAAAUAAUAGUAUUAAAAAGCAUAAAACUAAUGAGAGAGAAAAUCUUCCACUAAACGAAACUCUUAAAAGACUACAUCGUGAAUGCUAUUGUGUUAUGGCAUGAGAAAGGGGUCAUUUAUUUAUAGAGUUUCAAAACCUUUACUCUAAAAAAGAGGUCUGCCAAAUAUGAAAAAGUUUUAUAUUUUUCUUUCAGGAAAAGUAAAAGUAAUUAUGGUAAAUUUUAUUUUCCUUCUACGAAAAAAUAAAACUUAAAUAUAGUAAAAAAAUCAGGGCAAAAACCCUAACAAAUCUCCCCUUUUUGGCUUGAUUUUCUUCACUUGAUCCAUCUUCUCUUCAUAUCACGUGCAUGAACUUCAUUCUUGAUAUAAUCUACAUAACUGCUACUUCCCAUGGUUAAAAAUAAGGUUUAAAAUAUCAUGGUUAAAAAUUGGUUUAAAAGUAAUAUUUUAUUUUUAUUUUUAAAGAUACAGCAGCAUGAAUGUUGAAAAUAUGAUUGAAACGUGUUCUCCACGUGUAGUUGGACAAAAAUCUUCAUUAUCGCCCAAAUUGUUGCAGCUUGAUUUUGAAACCGCUUUGAACUUGUUUAAUCUCGUCUCACCACACCAUUGGACCAUUGAACUAUAAGCUCUGAUACUACUUGUUGGGUUUAAAAUCGAGAAGGCGUCAUGCGGAAGCUAUUAGUUGCAAACCAUAAACACAAUAACUCAGAUGACAAAGAAAAAUAUAUUAAAAACAUAAUAUUAUUAUGUGAUUUGGCCAAUUGGCCUACAUAUAAAAUCUAAUAUUAAAAAUAAUAUUAAAAAGCAUAAAACUAAUGAGAGAAAAUCUCCCCCUAAACGAAACUCUUAAAAGACUAUUUCGUGGAUGCUAUUAUGUUAUGACAUGAGGAGAGGGAUCAUUUAUUUAUAAAGUUUCAAAACCUUUCCUCUAAGAAAGAGGUUUGCCAAAUAUGAAAAAAAAUUAUAUUUUUCUUUCAGGAAAAGUAAAAGUAAUUAUGGUAGCUUUUAUUUUCCUUCUAAGAAAAAAUAAAACUUAAAUAUAGUAAGAAAAUUAGAGAAAAAACCCUAACAAUUUCCGAUAAGUCACAGUAGCACAUAUUCGGACUACCCUCUAUUGGCUACAAAUUCAUAGGCUUAUCCUCAAUUUUGAAGACACCCAAAACAUGCAAAACCUUCUCCCCUCAUUUCUUCAUAGUCUUCGAUACAUAGUAAAUGUGUUGUGACCUACUCCGUUUGUUGAGUACGCUGAAAUUCUGCAAAUUCGAUUUCCAGUAUUGCAGAAUAGUGUUUCGUUUUAUUUUGGGAGGAAUUAAUCCAAACCUUGGCCAAUUACGAGCGGCUUAAAUUCCUUAAGCAAACACAAAUGGCUCACAGCUCAUGUAUUCUAACGUUUUUUUCUUGUUUCUGUAUAUAUUUUUUAAGACAUGGUUUAACAGAAAGAGAUGGACAUGAAAAAGAGGAUAGGAAUAACAGUGAGGAAACUCCAACCUUAGAAUGUACAAAUUCUUCACAUAAAUAUGAUAAUCCCAUUAGUUUGCUUUGUUGAUAUUGAACUGGCUAUAUUUGAGCAUGUCUUCAAUUUGUGAUAUCGAAAUGUAAGAUUACUACAGAAACAACGCGUCUUUACUUGGUGAUAUAUAGAACUGGCUUCACUUGAGCAACAACUAUCUGAUUUGGAGAUGGCGUGACAUUAAUUUUUCUGAAGUAGAUAUGACGUGUUAUCCAUGGCAGAGCAAGUGAGGAACACUCAAUGACAGAGGGUUUAAGAUACCUAUUUUGAACAGGUAAAGGGGUCUGAAUGAAAUCCAAAGGAAUACAAAGAAUAGGAUGGCAAUCCAGAAUAUGUACAAGGGUUUCCCAAGCCAUUCCGUGUCAUAUCUUUGUGGAAGCAUGAUCUGAAAUCAAGUGUAUAUCAUCAAAUGUAAAUUUUGUGUUUAUGGACAAAACUAUGAAACAUUGACCACAACUUUUAGUACUUCGAAGUACUGAGAUGCCCAUAUCUUAUACAGUCAAUAGUAUGCAUAUUGUUGUUUACUUGUGCUUAUAUAUAUUGGUUUGCUUGAAAAUAUUACUGAUGCAUGACACACAAUGCUCCAUGCUACGAUGACAGCUUGUUUGGAUGGUUGUUAACUGUUGCAUGUAAUGGAGGGAAAUAACAUAAUCUAUCCAAACGUUAUAUUUAUUAGAAUAAUACAAUACGUUAUAAUAUAAUGCAUUACUUUAUGAAAUGAUAAAUAACAACUAUAUAUCUAGAUAAGCUAAACGUUGUCAAGCCUUUAUUGGUAUUACUUUCAAAGAGUCGUGUUUUCUUGAUGUUCCACCCAGACUUUCAUCCAUAUUGAUAGAUUUAGGAGAGAUACAUUCAGGAAGCUCCCAGUCGAAUUCAUGAAGCAACAAUCCCAGAGUGAAAUGCAUCAUGCGAUGGCCUAAAGGCAAGCCAACACACAUCUUCCGUCCUGCACCAAAUAGAAUUAGCUCAUAAUGUUGACCCUUCACAUCCACUUUCGAGCCAACAAACCUCUCGGGAUUUGAUACGGGUGUACCAAGCUAUCCAACAAGCUCUACAAGUUGUUCAACAAGCUCACGACCAUUCACACGUAGUCAAGCUCGGGAGUUACGAAAACUUCAAGCUAUGCUCAUGCAAAUGAUCGUGUGCGAGUUGGUACUUGAGCCUUCCAAUGGAUUAAAUGUUUUUAAGUGUGAAGAGGAUCCUUGAAGUGUAAUAAACUUACAUUCCAAGGCUACCCCUUGGCAAAGGUAGAAUGGUCAUUUGCUAUCUCCAUUUGUGGACUAAUAUAAAUAGAUAGUGUUAGGGUUAUUUUGGAGUUAGUUCAUUCAUGAUAUUUUGAGAACACAAGACUUGUAAUAUUUUGAACUUCUAUCUUCUAUUGGAGAAGCUCAAAACCAAAAUUCCCAAUUGGAGUAACACUUGGGUUGAAUCUUGGCUAGAAACUAGGAUCUUGAGGUCAUUGAGUUCCUCUUGGUCCAAGUAAGAGAUUGGUAAUAAUAUUCUUUAGUCUUAGGGUACUUUCAUGUUGUUAGGGUUCUUAGAUUCUUGAAUAUUGUAUGUCAAGUUACUAUCUUUAAUUUGUAAUCUUGUUGUUUGUGUGGUAACAUAGCAAAGCCGUGUGGGGCCAUUUUCGAUUCACUAUAGUUGCUGUCAAUUUGUUGCUCUUGUUCUUGUUAUUGUAAUCUUGUAAUCUCUAUUAUCUUGUCAUUUUUUGUAAACCUUGAAGUCUAGUGAAGUCGUGCGUGGCCUAUUUUGAUUCACUAGCAUUGUUGUUG
This 11076-nucleotide long non-coding RNA is filed under the name Capsicum annuum. RNAcentral describes it as "long non-coding RNA (CANN_LNC016454)". Lineage: Eukaryota; Viridiplantae; Streptophyta; Magnoliopsida; Solanales; Solanaceae. The record is from RNAcentral.